GACGGAGGGUGCAAGCGUUAUUCGGAAUCAUUGGGCGUAAAGGGCGUGUAGGCGGCCGGUUAAGUCAGAGGUGAAAGCCCAGGGCUCAACCCUGGAAGUGCCUUUGAUACUGGCUGGCUUGAGUCCGGGAGAGGGAAGCGGAAUUCCGGGUGUAGAGGUGAAAUUCGUAGAUAUCCGGAGGAACACCGGUGGCGAAGGCGGCUUCCUGGACCGAGACUGACGCUGAGACGCGAAAGCGUGGGGAG
RNAcentral lists this ribosomal RNA (245 nucleotides) under uncultured Desulfobacca sp. RNAcentral's name for it is "partial 16S ribosomal RNA". It matches the Rfam family "Bacterial small subunit ribosomal RNA", at positions 524 to 768 of the family's 1533-position model. The record is from RNAcentral. Lineage: Bacteria; Pseudomonadati; Thermodesulfobacteriota; Desulfobaccia; Desulfobaccales; Desulfobaccaceae.